AUUGAACGCUGGCGGCAGGCCUAACACACGCAAGUCGAACGGUAACAGGAAACAGCUUGCUGUUUCGCUGACGAGUGGCGGACGGGUGAGUAAUGUCUGGGAAACUGCCUGAUGGAGGGGGAUAACUACUGGAAACGGUAGCUAAUACCGCAUAACGUCGCAAGACCAAAGAGGGGGACCUUCGGGCCUCUUGCCAUCGGAUGUGCCCAGAUGGGAUUAGCUUGUUGGUGGGGUAACGGCUCACCAAGGCGACGAUCCCUAGCUGGUCUGCGAGGAUAACAGGCCACACUGGAACUGAGACACGGUCCAUAUUCCUACGGUAGGCAGCAGUGGGGAAUAUUGCACAAUGGGCGCAAGCCUGAUGCAGCCAUGCCGCGUGUAUGAAGAAGGCCUUCGGGUUGUAAAGUACUUUCAGCGGGGAGGAAGGGAGUAAAGUUAAUACCUUUACUCAUUGACGUUACCCGCAGAAGAAGCACCGGCUAACUCCGUGCCAGCAGCCGCCGUAA
RNAcentral lists this ribosomal RNA (506 nucleotides) under uncultured bacterium. Its description in RNAcentral is "partial 16S ribosomal RNA". It matches the Rfam family "Bacterial small subunit ribosomal RNA", at positions 30 to 523 of the family's 1533-position model. The record is from RNAcentral.